GGGAUCUGAGACAGAACCAGAGCUAAGCUCCACACCAAGAUUACCAUUACUCUUGAACCAACAUGCACAUGCAUAUAUGCAGUCACCACAGAGGUCAGGGACGCUAACCCCGCCACUCUACGCCUCAGCCUCUGUACCGUUUCGUUGGGAGGAAGAGCCUGGCAAGCCCAGAAGCUGUACUGCUCUCUCCAAUCCCAUUGACUCUAGCCCCAAGUGCCUGGAGCUACCUCCAAGGUUGCUCUUG
Molecule: unclassified non-coding RNA, 244 nt
Filed under: Hevea brasiliensis (rubber tree)
Lineage: Eukaryota; Viridiplantae; Streptophyta; Magnoliopsida; Malpighiales; Euphorbiaceae
Source: RNAcentral